This 201-nucleotide long non-coding RNA is filed under the name Elaeis guineensis (African oil palm). RNAcentral's name for it is "long non-coding RNA (EGUI_LNC014453)". Lineage: Eukaryota; Viridiplantae; Streptophyta; Magnoliopsida; Arecales; Arecaceae. The record is from RNAcentral.
UCUUCCAGUGGUAGCCCCUUAUUUUUUGCCAUGAAGAUAAAUAUAAAGAACGGUAUAGCCACAUAUGCGAAACAAAGAAUAGUGCAAAUAUGCAUGUGAAACAAAGAAUAGUGCAGCCAUAUAUGUGAAACCAAAGAUCAAAAAGAUCCAUUGUUAUUUCCAGGAAUGAUUUUGAUGAUCAUAAAAUAUUAAAGCAUAAUU